GUCAGACUUCCAGUAAAAGCAAAUGUCUUCAAACACAACAGUACCUCCACUUAAAUUUUAAUAUUUAAUACCAGCAAAGGUAGAAAUUAAAAAAUAAUGUACCCCCUCCUAUUUACAUAAUUUGCAGUUUCUCUAAAAUCUUUAUAAUACUUGUAUUAAAGUAUUUAAAUACUGACAUUAUCCCAAUGUUAAAUAAUUGUAAAAUCUAUGUAAACUCCUGCCAUUGGAAUGAUUUAUAGUAAGUUGGUCCCAUACCAGAAUCUUGUAUAUAGUACAGUUGUCCCAAGCCACUGUAGCUAUGGGUGACGCUGCGUAUGUUUGUGAAGUACAUUUCCUGAAACCUGCCUGAGCUUCAUAUGAAAUGUUCGCAAUUAUUCGACGGUGGCAAGGCUAUCCAAUGCCAUGUUCCCAGCAACAUAAAUACUUCUUGGUUAUUAAGAUCUUAACUGUUCC
This is a non-coding RNA of Pelobates cultripes (western spadefoot toad), 453 nucleotides long. Lineage: Eukaryota; Metazoa; Chordata; Amphibia; Anura; Pelobatidae. The record is from the annotation of a GenBank genome assembly.